Molecule: ribosomal RNA, 468 nt
Filed under: uncultured bacterium
Lineage: Bacteria
Description: partial 16S ribosomal RNA
Rfam family: Bacterial small subunit ribosomal RNA
Source: RNAcentral
GACGAACGCUGGCGGCGUGCUUAACACAUGCAAGUCGAACGGAAAGGCCCUGCUUUUGUGGGGUGCUCGAGUGGCGAACGGGUGAGUAACACGUGAGUAACCUGCCCUUGACUUUGGGAUAACUUCAGGAAACUGGGGCUAAUAUCGGAUAGGAGCUCCUGCUGCAUGGUGGGGGUUGGAAAGUUUCGGCGGUUGGGGAUGGACUCGCGGCUUAUCAACUUGUUGGUGGGGUAGUGGCUUACCAAGGCUUUGACGGGUAGCCGGCCUGAGAGGGUGACCGGCCACAUUGGGACUGAGAUACGGCCCAGACCCCUACGGGAGGCAGCAGUGGGGAAUAUUGCACAAUGGGCGGAAGCCUGAUGCAGCAACGCCGCGUGCGGGAUGACGGCCUUCGGGUUGUAAACCGCUUUCGCCUGUGACGAAGCGUGAGUGACGGUAAUGGGUAAAGAAGCACCGGCUAACUACGUG